RNA transcript from Panicum virgatum (switchgrass), 3769 nucleotides. It is a transcript of the gene named glutathione S-transferase T3-like, with no coding region annotated. The transcript is spliced from 4 exons. NCBI's taxonomy places the organism in Eukaryota, Viridiplantae, Streptophyta, Magnoliopsida, Poales, Poaceae. The record is from RefSeq and is a predicted model, not a curated record.
UAGAAACGACCCAAACCCCGUGGGACCAGCACCCUCGUUUCUUCCCCGUUUCUUUCCCCUCCCUUACGGAUCUGCUGCGCCGCCGCCGCCGCCUCCGCUUCGCCCCACCGCCGAGCGCGCCUGCGCCAAACCUGCGCGCGCCCUGCAGCCCCAUCCCGCGCGCGCCAUGCAUCUUUCCCGCGCACGCCCAGCCUCCUCCCGUGCGCGCCCGGAGCCUUCCCGCGCGCCCCCUGCAGACCCUCCCUCCCUACAGCCAAUAUCCUAGCCGGAUUGAUGCUCUCCUCUACAAAUCCAUCUUCCCCCAUCUCAUAUCGCUGCCAAGUUCCAGCCAUGACCUAGUUUAGCCAAAUCAAUCCCGAAUCCAUCUCCAAGGGAGGCAGGUCGAGGAUGGAUCGAUCGGAGAAGCAAGGCGUGCAGAAAAAGAAAUUGAGGAAGAGCUCAUCGAAUUUGAGUUCUAGGAGAGGCACUGGUAUUUCUGCUUCUCUUGGCACGACGAUUCCCGCUGAUGGAUCAGGAAGUGCUUCUGCAAGCACUGGGGCUCCUGCCGGCAGCCCAGGCAUUGGUGGUGGAACCGGCCCGCAUCCAGGCUAUAUCCAGAAGGUGGAUUUGUCAACUCUUUACAGAACGCAUUACAGAUGCCGCAAACUAGUCAUAUGUUUCCCCAUACAUAUCCAGUUAGUUAUCCCAAUGCAAGUAAUCUUCCAGAGAAUCUCCAUUUUGUUGGAGCUUCAAGUAGAGGGACCCCAUCACCAAACGCAAGUGGCUUAGCAAUGGGGACUGCAGAUGCACAAAAUGGGUCACAAGAAGAAACAAUUGACAUUGAUGUCGAUGACACCCUCGAGCCUACUAGGACCGACAAGCGACUGAACUGGUCGCAUGAAGAAGACAUUAGAUUGGUCAGUGCUUGGUUGCAAAAUUCAUUGGACCCAGUUGAUGGAAAUGGCAAGAAGUCUGAUCAGUAUUGGGCAGAUGUUACUAAUAUGUACAACAGCACCACAACAAGUAAUCGUAGGAGGAACCGUAACCAAUUGAAAAUCCGUUGGGAUCGUAUCAAGAAACCAGUCAGUGAGUUCCAUAGUUGCUGGAUAAUGACCAAUAGGGUGUACCAAAGUGGAAUGAGCGAUGACCAAAGGACAGAUAAAGCACUUCAGAUGUAUGCAUCUGAGCAUGAUGACAAGCCUUUCUUACUGCAACAUAUAUGGAGGGUAGUAAAAAAUGAAAGAAAGUGGGCUGCAUAUGUGAAGAGAAUUGACAAGGAAAAAAGUCCAGUGUCUAAUCCAGCUCAUGCCGACAAUGUUGAAGAUUCUCCAAAAAAGCGUCCUAUUGGAACUAAGCAAGCCAAAGCUGUGCGAGAUGGCAAACGGAAGCCAGAGGUUAUUUCUGCUAUAGGAGAAAAACUAGAUAAAUUCAUUGAUGUAAGCAACAAGGCUAAGAAGAUGGCUGAGGUGCAGCAAAGUUUGGCAAAUAAGAAGCUUGAAGUAGACCAGCUUAAUCAUAAAGCAGCCCAGGAACAAACAAGGGGUAAAAUGGUAGACCUUUACAGAGACUUGUUCUGUGCUUCAACUAGUGAUAUGAGUGAAGAAGCUAAAGCUGAGAGAUACAAAGCAUUGGAGUGUAUGAAAUUGGCUCUUUUUACUAUUGAAAAUUGAGGUAUGGUACACUUGUUUCUACCGUGUGAAUACAUUUUCAUUUUUAAUGCUAGCUGCAAGUCUGAACACACUCACUUGUGUGAACUCAAUCUGUUUUUUUAAUGCUAGCUGCAAGUUCGAACACACUCACUUGUGUGAACUCAAUCUGUUUUUUAAUGCUAGCUGCAAGUUUGAACACACUCACUUGUGUGAACUCAUUUUAUUUUGUUAAUGGUAGCUGUAAGUCUGAAAACACUCACUUGUGUGAACUCAAUUUAUUUUUUUAAUGAUAGCUGCAAGUCUGAACACACACUCUUGUGUGAACUCAAUUUAUUUAUGUAUAUAUAUCCCCCAGCAGGACACUCUUCUCUCUUCCCCUGCGCACACUCUCCUCUCUUCCCCUGCGCACUCUCUUUUCUCUCUUCCCCUGUGCACUCUCUCUUCUCCCUUCCCCUACGCACUAUGUCCCACCACCAAUCAGCUGACAUCCCCCUGGGCAAGAUGAUUCAUUGGAUGAGGUGAGCAGCAUAGAUCCAAUGGACCUAUAUCCAUUGGACGAGGUGAGCGGCCUGCUGGGUGAUAUUGCUGAUUACAUUGUUGAUGAAUUGAAGUCUGAUGUUCAAGAUAUGGGACGUGCAAGGUAGAGUGGUCCAAGAAAGUUUGUUGACAGGCCUUAUGAAGAAUCUGAACAGGGGCUGAUGAAUGAUUACUUUUUAGAUGAGCCAGUCUAUGAUGACACAAUCUUUCGCAGAAGAUUUAGGAUGAGAAGGCCCCUGUUCUUAAGCAUUGUUGAAGCCCUAGGCAUGUGGAAUAAAUAUUGUACGUUGAGAAUGGAUGCACUUAAUCGGCCUGGGUUAUCUCCACUCAAGAAAUGCACUGCUGCUAUUCGGCAAUUGGGAACUGGCUGCCCUGCAGACCAACUUGAUGAGUACCUAAAGAUUGGAGAAAGUACUGGAGUGGAGUGCUUGAAGAUGUUUGUGAAGGGUGUGAUUGAGGUGUAUGGUCAAAAGUAUCUGCGACGCCCCCCUGUACAAGAUGUGGAAUGCUUAGUGCAAAUUGGUGAGCGUCGUGGGUUCCCUGGCAUGUUAGGGAGUAUUGUCUGCAUGCAUUGGCAUUGGGAAAAAUGCCCGGUUGCAUGGAAGGGAAUGUAUACUCGUGGUGAUCAUGGUGUUCCUACAAUCAUUCUAGAAGCAGUAGCUUCACAUGAUCGUUGGAUAUGGCAUGCCUUUUUUGGUGUUGCUGGAUCAAACAACGAUAUCAAUGUGCUUAACCAAUCACCUCUGUUCAUCCAACAGUUGAGAGGGGAAAGUCCUCAGGUGCAGUUCCAUGUCAAUGGAAGGCAGUACAACAAUGGUUACUACCUUGCAGAUGGUAUAUACCCAGAAUGGGCUGCCUUUUGUUAAGUCAAUACGUCUACCACAAUCGGAAAAGCACAAAUUAUUUGCGGCACGUCAAGAAGGGGAAAGGAAAGAUGUUGAAUGUGCUUUCGAUAUUUUGCAAUCUCGCUUUAGAAUUUUGAAACAACCUUCACAUCUAUAUGAUCAAGGGGAUCUUGAGAAUAUCAUGCUAGCUUGUAUCAUCCUUCACAACAUGAUAAUCGAAGAUGAAAAAGAUAUAGAGCAGAUUCCUUUUGAUUUGAACGAGGCACCAAGUACAUCAACAGUUCGAGAAGCUACAAUUUCUCAAGCUGAUGCUAUGCCAGAGAUGGAACAAGUGAUACAAAGAAAUGCCACUAUUCGUGAUAGAACUACUCAUAGACAACUGCAGUCAAACUUAAUUGAGCAUAUCUGGCAAAAGUUUGGCAAUUCAAAUAACUAGCAUGCGGAAUUGAUGUGAGGUUGUCGUGCACUGGAGGCUCUAAAUGAUGGCGAGUUGUUGUGCACCUAGAGGCUGGAGUGUUGUUCUUGCAAAUGGAUGCUUACCUGGAGGCUGGAGUCGUCCAUCUAAAUAUUAUCUAUAUAUCGCUAUGCAUUCUUAUUGUAUUGCUACCUGAAUAUUGCUUACAAUUUUAUCGUACUGCUGCCUAAAUAUUGCCUGUUGGGAUUGUAUUGCUGUGGCUGCACCCUGUCAGUCUCAUGCUAGUUACGGAGAUGCUAUCUUUGUUUGAAUUAUUAUUUAAAUAUCUAUGCUUUGUUUGAACA